This 253-nucleotide ribosomal RNA is filed under the name uncultured bacterium. Its description in RNAcentral is "partial 16S ribosomal RNA". It matches the Rfam family "Bacterial small subunit ribosomal RNA", at positions 524 to 776 of the family's 1533-position model. The record is from RNAcentral.
UACGUAGGGGGCAAGCGUUGUCCGGAAUUACUGGGCGUAAAGAGCUCGUAGGUGGUUUGUCGCGUUGUUCGUGAAAACCUGAGGCUUAACCUUGGGCGUGCGGGCGAUACGGGCAGACUGGAGUACUGCAGGGGAGACUGGAAUUCCUGGUGUAGCGGUGGAAUGCGCAGAUAUCAGGAGGAACACCGGUGGCGAAGGCGGGUCUCUGGGCAGUAACUGACGCUGAGGAGCGAAAGCGUGGGGAGCGAACAGG